AGUGCCCUAAAGACCAACUGGAUAGAAGGAGAGCGGAGCAGAGGCUUGGAAGCUUGGAUCCCUCCUCCUGCACUCCCUCCCGGCCCCGACUCCGGAACAAAACAAGCAAACAAUAAAGCAAACUUGUUGCUCUUUUGUCUCAAAGUUUUGUGUGAGUUCCCAUCUCGUAAUCAGUGGGGUUGAGGGUGACGGGGAGCAGAAGUAACUAAUAUCAUUGUGUUUUCUUAGUUACAUUUUGGACAAAUUUUUACGGAUACUGGAGAUGAGAAGUGGACUCUGCUCUGUCCUGAAAACCUGGAAUCAUAACAUUUCAUGGCUAGGACUAGAGUGUCCUUGGCGCUGUGUUUCUGGUCAGUGUCAAUUGUGUGUCAUAUUGAGAUGCCCCCACAAAAACUGUCAUCAUCAACAGGCGCUCCAGAGCCGCUGGUAGCCUACCAAAUUGUUGGCUCAAUGGAAUGCUUACUUGUUGAAAUACACCAACUUUGGAAGCUCUGAGUCAAGUUUGGGACAGAGGUUCCUUGCUCUCCAGGAACUCCAGGGCUAGCUGUAUGCGGACUUGCAUAAAUAACAAGGGCUAUUCCACUGACUUUGUCUCUUUUUCUCAGGUUGUCAGCGGCAGGCUGCAAUUUUAAUUCUGUAAACCGUGUAUUGCGCGUGUACUUUGGGUGGCCCUGUGCUGCGUCAGCUGGAAGGGAUCCAGAGAAAAAGACAGAGCCCUCUUUGAAGACAUCCAGAGAGAGAUCUAGGAUGUUGGGAAGGAACAAAGAAAUUCAGGCAUCUCUCCUGAGAAGAGAAAGGGAGUAGAAUGCUCCAUCAUGAUGCUAACCACAAGAAUUGACUUGACGGGACAGAAUCAAGGGGAAGAACGUCAGUGAAACUUCUGGUGACAAUCACCCACUUAGGUCUUUAUUUUCCAUUUUUGCAUUUGUCAUACUUUUCAUAGUAAUGAAAACAAAUAUGUUGUGUAUAAUACUGGAUGUCAGCCUAUACAUUUGGUUUUUAAAUUUGGGGAAGGAAACUUCUUUCCACUCGAUUGAGCAGUUUCAUCUUUGCAAUGUAUUUAUUCUUUCUGAACUUUUGGGUAGUGUCCUCGUAUUAGUCUGUUUUCAUGCUGUUGAUAAAGACAUACCCAAGACUGGGUAAUUUAUACAGAAAAAGAGGUUUAAUGGGCUCACAGUUCCACAUGGCUGGGGAAGCCUCACAAUCAUGGCAGAAGGCAAAAGGUCUGUCUUGUGUGGCGGAAGGCAAAAGGCCCGUCUUAUGUGGUGGCAGAAAAGAGAGAAUGAGAGCCAAGUGAAAAGGGAAAUCCCUUAUAAAAUCAUCAGAUUUUGUGAGACUUAUUCACUACCACGAGAACAGUAUGGGGGAAACUGUCCCUGUAAUUCAAUUAUCUCCCACCAGGUCCCUCUCACAACACGUGGGAAUUAUGGGAACUUCAAUUCAAGAUUAUAUUUGAGUGGGGACACAGCCAAAUCAUAUCAGUCCUAGAAAAUUCUUCAGGACUGGCUCUUUUUACUUUUUGGCAAUUUAGCCCUCCUGGUCAUGAACGAGUUGUCAGAUUAGCUUCUCCUAAUUUCACACUAUGAUGGGGAGAAGGAAAUGCAGGUUUUCUGCUCUUAAAAGAUUCCACAUACUGUUUGGACCCUCCCGUGCAUAGUGGAGAGAAUAACUUUAUUCAUUCUGUGAUUAUCCAGUAGGAAGUCUUAUCAGACAGGAGGCCCUCUGGAGGGUCCUAGCAACACUGACCUAAACCUCAGAGCACUCGAGUGAACACCCAAAGUCCUCUGUGGAGAAAUGAUGUAGAGUCUUGAAUGGGAAUAUGUUGCUAAUGGGUCAUUAGUAAUUUGAGUGUCUUUUCAGCUGGCGUCAAAACAGGCCCUAUUCCUCAGUACCCGGUAUCAAGAGAAGACAACUUUCAGAAGCCCAUUGCCUAGACUUGGAGGAGGCUCUUAAUAUGUUUUUUUUCCACAUUUCAUAAAUUCUUAGGAUUUUUUAAAUUUAAUAUCCUUUAUGAACUAAGGUCAACAAAACUUUAAUCAGUGAAUAUAUUUUUGGUUCUGAGAGUUAGAACACUCCUCCCUUUUAAAACAAAAAAGUUUUUAGAAUUUUGUUGUUAAAUAUAUCUGGACAUAUGAAGAAAACUGAAGUUAUCAGCCUUUUCAAUUGAAUCCUGACACUGAAAUUGUCUUUUGAAACUUACUUUUGUGUAACUAUCCUGGCUCACUGGCACUCUGCUCUGGAAUUAAAUUUCCCUAAUUUCUGUCAACUUUUUGAAUCUGCAACAGUGGGAGCAUAUGAUAUGCUGUAUGAGUAACUGCACAAGUUAUUGUUAGAAAAAUUCCUACUGAUAAGCCCUAUGAGUUUUAUCUGUAACUGUGCAAGUAACCUAAGUAUCUUGUGGAAUUAGAGGCAAUAGUCUGUUUUACAAAGAGUAGGAGAGAGAGAGAAAGAGGUAGAGACAAAGACCAAGACCAGGAGAGGAAGAAGGAGAGAGACAGAAAGGGAGGCAGAGGGAAGAAAGGAAAGAAGAAAGAAAGAAAACAUUAGCAUAAUUUUCCAAGAAUAGGCAUCUCAGUGUCUUGCCUAGAAAUCAAGGUCUUCCUCUGCUCAGAAGCACAGAAACUGUCCAGGAGGGGAAGCUCUAAGUAACGAUAACAAUAGAAACUGAUUGGCUUGACAAUGAGAUAAGACCAGGUAUGUUCCCGGUGACCCACAGUGAAGGAAAAUUCAGUUUUUGCACAGUUUCACUGUGUGGAGAGAAUAUAGCACCAUUACAAAACUUCUUUUAAAGAAAAGACACUUUGGGAAUUGGCCUCAUCUGUUUUUUUGUAGGCAGUUCAGAUAGGAAUAAAGGAAAGAAGAAAACAUCUCCUUCCUUAUUCCCCAUCUGUUUAUCUCACUAUUUCUCAUCCUCCUUACAGACACUCAGCUGGAGGUUCACAGAUCCAGUUUCUUGUAGAUUGCUCCUCAAUGUUGUGGGUAAUUUUAGGCAAAAUAUGCAAAUUUCUUGUUUGGCAUAAGGUUUUUCUUUCUCCUGCUAAAACAAAAAUGUUUCCGCUACAAACCAUUUAAAUACUUCGUAGGGAUUUUGUCAGGAUUAAUGAGGCAACAGACAGUCACAGGUGAUUAUACUUAUUUCAAGAAUGCAUUAUUUUAGUAUGUCUAUUUGGCAUUACAUUGAUUUUUUUUCAGGUCAUUAGCUUAUUAAUUUCUACUAGACAGCAGAGCUGCUGUGUCUUGUUAUUUUUGGAGUUAAAAUGGUGUAAUAUUCUCAGAGAGCUAGACAUCAACUUAGUGAACUGGAACUGGAGAAUAAUUUAUUCUUUGCUACCAUAGAUGUUAAUUAUUUACCACAAGACAGAGCUGGGCAAGAAGAAAUCUCAGAACUUUAGUUUGGAUACAGACUUUGCUUUUUAUGGUCUGUUUCAAUCCCUUUAUUUUACAGAUAAGUAGAUUAAAACAAUUAUGAUUAAGUAUCUUCUCUUAUGUCACACAGUUGUUAUUGAUUGGUUUAUACUUAGGAGCUAGAGCAAGUGUUCCCAGGGAGUACAUUUUGUACUGAAUAUAGCUGUCUUUGUGAAGAGAAAAAUAACAAGAUUUGUAGGUACUGAAAGUUACCCAGAAAUCUCACAUUAGUCUAGGAAGAGGUAUGUAUUAUGAUGCUCAGGGUUACUGUGGCUUGAUAUAAUUAAACAGAUGUAUAUUCGUCUCCUAGAGUCUUCAAAAUAAUGAUAGUGGUGACGAUGACGAUGAUGAUAGUUAGCAGUUUUUAAAGGCUUACUCUGCAACAGGAAUUAUACCUAGAGGUUUAUACACAUUAUCUCAUUUAUUUCCUAAAAUGAUGCCAUGAGGUUGGAUCUAUUAUUUCUUCCAGUCUACAGAAGAAGAACCUGAAGCUUAGAGAUAUUUGGUAAAUUGUUGCAACUUCACUCUGUAAGUAAAUGUCAGAUCUGACCAAUAUGAUGCCACCCUAUGCCUUGUCACAGUAUUAUUCUGCUAUACGUUUGAGAAUCUGCCAAAUUUUCUUAGGCUCAUUAUCCACUACCACCAUAUUCUGACUUGUGGUGGAAUUAAUAAUAUUUCUAGAAGAAAUAUUUGCAAUAUUUAAGCAAAUUUUAGAAUUUUUAUACUAGAAAUAAGAUCUUGGACAUAAUGUAACUGUAUGUCUAGGUGGUGCUAAGUAACGAGACUUUCUGCACUGAGUUUUAGAAUGAAGAAUGGGAAGGAAAGCUCUUCCUAAAUAAAGCAGGAAACAUGGAUACCAGCUUACCAUUUGUAACCAGAGGUGUUUCUUAAUCUUUUUCAGAUCAGUUGUACAAAAGUUAAGACAGCAAUAAUGGUUUUUAUAGAAUGUUCUCAUGACGGUUAAAUAUUAAGAUGUAUGUGAAGUACAUAGCCCAGUACUAGAAAGAUCUGGCGUCUCUUCUGAUUAUUUAUUGCCUGUGCUGUACCAGUUAAUGUUUGGAAUAUCAGUACUGUAUUCAACAGAUAUCUAUUUGAUAUCUAGUAUGUGAUUGGGCCAGUAAUAGGCCCUAAGGGGACAGUACUAUUUUUAUCUUCAUGGUGCUCACUUUCUAGUUGAAGGAGGUAGAAAAAAUAAUUAUUGCGGGUAGUGAUAAGUGAAACAAAAAUAAUAAGACAGGAUUGGGGUAGAGUGACAUGAAUUGGGGAGAAGGAAGGAUUCCAUGAGAUCAGUUGUGAAAGGAGGCUUCUAAGAAAGCAACACUGGAGUUGAGAAGGGAAUAAGAAAGAGCCAACUACCUGGAGAUUGGUAGAAGGAUGAAAAGACAUGCACAAGAUUUGAAGAAGAGUUUAUGAAGAUGAAGGCUUCCAAUGAACUGAGAUUUCUACAUCAUGGGGAGGGUAAUAAAAAUGCUCUUUAAAAUAUGUUAAACAAGGUAUCUGUAUCUAUGUCUGCAUGAAAGUAGAGAGGAGACAGAAUAGCUGAUGCAACAGAUGACAGUGAAUAAUCGAGUAUCUACAGCUUCUACAAUGAUCAUCAACCAGGUUCUUUCUGCCCAACUGCAGCAAGUCAAUCACUGAGAUAAUGGAUUUUGCAAAAGAGAAGACUAUUCAUGAGGCAGCCAGUGAGGAGGUGAAGAACAGGUCUCAACUCCACCUCCCAGAAGAUAAGGCUUAGGGAUAUUUAUAGGUUAUAGAAGUGGGGUCAGCUAAGAUGUGGGAAAAGGUGAUUGUCAGUGGGGGAAAAAUGAAGCAAUCAGUGAUCUAUGCAAACAUAGUUGGGAUAUGUGGCAUUUCAUAGGACACAUUUGCAGAAAAUGAUGGUAUUAUGAUCUGAGGGUGGAAUUUUUGGUCCUCUGAUGUCAAAAUGCUCUCCGGCAUUUACAGAGGCCCAGCUGAAGAGUCAACCAGUUUGAACUGGUCAGGAGCUGUCCCACAUUCCUGAAAAAUAACUGAAGUGACCAUUACCAUGGUGAUUUAUAAAUGUUCAAUUUAUUAUGCCGCUAAUGAAGGUUAAGUUUCAGCGUUCAGUGGUGCAGCCUUCAAUUACUGUGGCUUUCAGCUUCAUGAAAAAAAAAAAAAAAAAAGAAAAGAAAAAGAUAAAAAGCAGGUAACCAAAAGCAAGCAGGGCAUGCUAAAUUUGGCAGACCUAAUCAGAUGAAUCCUCUGUUUCACAGUGCUAUUUUGUUUAUAAUCUUCUUUAUCCAGGAGAACAUUAUUUGAACUAAAAAGAACAAAGCAAGAAUGGUCUGAAAUCACAAGGGGUUCAGAAGAAUGAAACAGAUGAUCUGGAUACUUUUAGAAGGAGUAAUAAUUAUUAAUCCCAACAAAUGACAUUCUUCAGUGUCUAAGCAUUUUCUUUUGUGAUUAAAGAGCUGCCGUGAACAAACCUGGAGGAGAACGUGAUGGGUACCAGAGACCAGAAAUUUACACAUGGCUAUGUUUUCAAAGGACAGGUCAAGAUGGUGAGAGGAGUGGGGCUAAGGAAGAUGUUAUCAUAUAUAAAUUCCAGAAAUUGUACUGAGGUGACGUUGGUAUCCAUCUGCAGCAUAAUUCUAUGCUUAAAUAUUGAACCAAUUAUUUUUGAGCUCUUAGUAAGGCAAGGUGGUGGAGCCAGGAUGGGUUCAAUAAGAAGUUCUCAUGCUAAACUAACCUCUUUUUUGAUAAAAUUUCCAGACUUUAAAGUCAAGAAGACAAAACAAUUCUAGAUUUGAGUAGGGCAUAUGAAGAAAAUAUGUGGCUUAAUAACUUGCUUUUUAAAGUUAACAUUUUGAAAUGGGAUCUAAAAAAAAAUGUCGAUCUUACAGAAUUAGAGAGUAGAGCAGUGGUUACUGACACCGGGGAGAAAAUGAGAGAUUGGGGAGGAUGGGAGAGGUUGGCCAACAGGUACAAAGUUACAAGAAGAUAGAAAGAAGUUCUGGUGUCCUUUUGCAUAAUAGGGUGAAGAUAGUUAACAGUAAGGGAUUGUAUAUUAUAAAAUACCUUGAAGAGAGGUUUUGGAAUGUUCUUAUUACAAAGAAAUGAAAAAUGCACAAGGUGAUGAAUACGCCAGCUACCCUAAUUUGAUUAUUAUACAACAUAUACAUGUAUCAAAACAUCAAAUUGUAUCCCAUAAAUAUGUACAAUACAAUGUGUCAAUUAAAAAAUAGAAAACAAUAUAAUUAUGUGGUCUACAAAGAGAACAUAAUGGACUAAAUGUUGAUUGGGAUUCACAGAAUAUUGCCAAAAUAUUCGUGACUUUGCUAACCAUAUGAAACAAAAUGUUCACAUUUAAAUAUAUAAGUUGAUCUUAGUUGUAUUUAUGUAAUAAUUAUUAUGAUCCAUAAUAAACCAUACAUAUUUUGCUAAUUUUAUUAUUUCUGUCCAUGACAAGUGAAGUUAUUAAUAAGAUAUUAUAAAAUUUGGCACAUAAAUUAAAAUGUAUUCGUUAUCCUAUUAACAGUAUUAUUUUAAAUGACAAAACUGUAUUCCAUAUGUAUUCCAAUACACCAAAAUUUUGUAAGUUAAUUUACCAAUAUCCGUUUUUUGGACAUUUAGAUUAUUUGCAUUUCUUACACUUUUUUGAAGUAUUCUAGUUAUGUCCUUAGGUUAAAUUCCUAAAAGUAAAAUUUCUGAGCUAUGAGGAUAUGCCAAAUUACCUUCCAAAAAUGUGGUAUUCGCCGGGUGCAGCGGCUCAUGCUUGUAAUCUCAGUGCUUUGGAAGGCUGAGGUGAGAGGAUGGCCUUGAGGCUUGGAGUUAGAGACCAGGCAUGGGCAAUGUAAUGAGACUCUGUCUCUACAAAAAAAAAUUUUUAAAUUAACUGGACAUGUUGCUGUGCACCUCUAGUUCCAGCUACUUGGGAAGCUGAGACAGGAUAUCUGCUUGAGCCCAGGAGUUCGUGGCUGCAGAGAGCUGUGAUCACACCACCGCACUCCAGCCAGGGCAACAGAGUGAGACCCUGACUCCAAAAGCAAAAACAAAAGAGCAAAAACGAGAUUCCAAUGUAUACUCCCACCAAUUAAUUUGAAGGUGACCAUAUCCCUCCUAUCAAAUACUGUCACUCAUUUACAUCUUUGCCAAAUGUGGGAAAACAUAAAGUUUGGCAACCCUAUAUUGACUCCACCAUGCCUUGGGAAAGGCAGCCCGCAUCAGUGGCAGGAAAUAUUGGUGGAGCGAGCUGGGACUUGCAGGUGACCAAGAAGGGGGAUCCCGGAACCGGAAUUGUCUCCCUUGGCGUUCCGGAAGUAGAAGCAGAGUCAUUGCUGGGUGGCGCCAGCCCUCAGACUUGCCUCUUUGCAGUAGGAAGAAGGCCUCCCCACAUACCUUCCCACACUCAUCACCUUAAGCCAGACUCGGUGUCCAGUGAAUAUGACCAUCUCUUGCCCAUUUUCUAAUGAGUGUUUUCAUUAAUGAGUUAUAAGAAUGUGGUGGGUAAAUCUAUGGGCUUUGAACUAGUGAAUCAACUUGGUUUCAGAAUCUGGCACUGCUACUUACUAGUGAAUUUAAGCAAGUUAUUUCACCUUUCAGAGUGUCAGUUCCCUCAUGCAUACAAGGAAGAUAAAAAAUAAUGUAUACAAAAGUAUUGGAGUAAUUAAUACAUGGAGAACUACAUGUAAAGCGUUUAGCAUGAUGUCUGACAUAUUAAGCAUCCAAUAUUAGUUGCUUGCAGAAUUAUUAGUAAAAGAGAUUGCUUCUGAAAGCCAUUCCAAUUCUUAAAUUUUAUAAUGCCACAUUUGAGGUCACCUGAAGUACGUGUAUAACAUGUGUACAUUUUUGCGAUUUAUUUUUUCAAUUCCCAGAUUAGAGGCAUAGAGAUAUCCUAGCAAGGACUCCAAGUGUGUAGAUCUGUCAAAGAUAUGAACAUGAAAGAACAGCUUAUUUCAAUAAACCCACUUUACAUACCUUGUGUGCUUGUUUUUAACAAUAAAAAUUGGAAAGAUAAUUAAGGAACUGAAAAACCAGAGGGUAAAUUCUACAGUUUCCUUAAUUUAAAGAGUAAUUGUUUUUAAUUCUGAUUCACCUAAGAAGAAGGCAUUUAACUUGUAGGGCUUUCUGUAUUUACAUGUAUUAUAUAUUAAAUCCUCACAAUUGUUUGCAGUCAUUAUUAUUAUUAUUAUUAUUAUGCCCAUAUAAUAUGUUAAUGUGGAAACUGAGGCUCACAAAGCUUAAUUAAAUUGCCCAAGUUCCUAAAAUUAAUA
This 8639-nucleotide long non-coding RNA is filed under the name Homo sapiens (human). RNAcentral's name for it is "non-protein coding lnc-CEP44-1:10". The record is from RNAcentral. Lineage: Eukaryota; Metazoa; Chordata; Mammalia; Primates; Hominidae.